Tilletia controversa (dwarf bunt fungus) is the source of this 71-nucleotide non-coding RNA. NCBI's taxonomy places the organism in Eukaryota, Fungi, Basidiomycota, Exobasidiomycetes, Tilletiales, Tilletiaceae. The record is from Rfam.
AAGAGAUUAGUUGAGUGGUUUAACGUCAGUGUUACAUACUGAAUGCACUAGUUCGAUUCUAGUAUCUCUUA